UUCCGGUUGAUCCUGCCGGAGGUUACUGCUAUCGAGGUUCGACUAAGCCAUGCGAGUCGAAUGUAGCAAUACAUGGCGAACUGCUCAGUAACACGUGGACAACCUGCCCUUAGGACGGGGAUAAACCCGGGAAACUGGGUAUAAUACCCGAUAGGUCUCGAUUGCUGGAAUGCAUCGAGAUUUAAAGCUCCGGCGCCUAAGGAUGGGUCUGCGGCCUAUCAGGUAGUAGUGGGUGUAGCGUACCUACUAGCCUACGACGGGUACGGGUUGUGAGAGCAAGAGCCCGGAGAUGGAUUCUGAGACACGAAUCCAGGCCCUACGGGGUGCAGCAGGCGCGAAAACUUUACAAUGCUGGCAACAGCGAUAAGGGAACCUCGAGUGCCAGGUUACAAAUCUGGCUGUCGAGAUGCCUAAAAAGCAUUUCAUAGCAAGGGCCGGGCAAGACCGGUGCCAGCCGCCGCGGUAACACCGGCGGCUCGAGUGGUAACCGUUAUUAUUGGGUCUAAAGGGUCUGUAGCCGGCCGGAUAAGUCUCUUGAGAAAUCUGGCAGCUUAACUGUCAGGCUUUCAGGGGAUACUGUCUGGCUCGAGGCCGGGAGAGGUGAGAGGUACUUCAGGGGUAGGGGUGAAAUCUUGUAAUCCUUGAAGGACCACCAGUGGCGAAGGCGUCUCACCAGAACGGACCUGACGGCAAGGGACGAAAGCUAGGGGCACGAACCGGAUUAGAUACCCGGGUAGUCCUAGCCGUAAACGAUACUCGCUAGGUGUCGGCCACGGUGCGACCGUUGUCGGUGCCGUAGGAAGCCGCGAAGCGAGCCACCUGGGGAAGUACGGCC
RNAcentral lists this ribosomal RNA (835 nucleotides) under uncultured archaeon. Its description in RNAcentral is "bacterial SSU rRNA". It matches the Rfam family "Archaeal small subunit ribosomal RNA", at positions 1 to 842 of the family's 1478-position model. The record is from RNAcentral.